CAGCAGCAGCCGCGGGAAUACGGAGGGAGCUAGCGUUGUUCGGAAUUACUGGGCGUAAAGCGCGCGUAGGCGGUUACUCAAGUCAGAGGUGAAAGCCCGGGGCUCAACCCCGGAACUGCCUUUGAAACUAGGUGACUAGAAUCUUGGAGAGGUCAGUGGAAUUCCGAGUGUAGAGGUGAAAUUCGUAGAUAUUCGGAAGAACACCAGUGGCGAAGGCGACUGACUGGACAAGUAUUGACGCUGAGGUGCGAAAGCGUGGGGAGCAAACAGGAUUAGAUACCCCUGUAGUCCCUGUCUCUUAUAC
Molecule: ribosomal RNA, 304 nt
Filed under: uncultured bacterium
Lineage: Bacteria
Description: partial 16S ribosomal RNA
Rfam family: Bacterial small subunit ribosomal RNA
Source: RNAcentral